Acanthosepion pharaonis is the source of this 112-nucleotide non-coding RNA. The record is from the annotation of a GenBank genome assembly. Lineage: Eukaryota; Metazoa; Mollusca; Cephalopoda; Sepiida; Sepiidae.
UAGGGCCAUAUCACAUUGAAACAUUGGUUCCCGUACGAUCAUUGAAGUUAAGCAACGUUGAGCCUGGUCAGUACCCAGAUGGGUAACCGCGUGUGAAUACCAGGUGCUGUAA